RNAcentral lists this ribosomal RNA (378 nucleotides) under uncultured bacterium. RNAcentral describes it as "bacterial SSU rRNA". It matches the Rfam family "Bacterial small subunit ribosomal RNA", at positions 27 to 407 of the family's 1533-position model. The record is from RNAcentral.
GGACGAACGCUGGCGGCGUGCUUAACACAUGCAAGUCGAGCGGUAAGGCCCUUUCGGGGGUACACGAGCGGCGAACGGGUGAGUAACACGUGGGUGACCUGCCCUUAGCUCUGGGAUAAGCCUGGGAAACUGGGUCUAAUACCGGAUAUGACUCCAUAACGCAUGUUGUGGGUGGAAAGCCUUGUGCGGCUAGGGAUGGGCCCGCGGCCUAUCAGCUUGGUUGGUGGGGUNAUGGCCACCAAGGCGACGACGGUAGCCGGCCUGAGAGGGCGACCGGCCACACUGGGACUGAGACACGGCCCAGACUCCUACGGGAGGCAGCAGUGGGGAAGUCUUGCGCAAUGGGCGAAAGCCUGACGCAGCGACGCCGCGUGGGGA